RNAcentral lists this long non-coding RNA (1007 nucleotides) under Anser brachyrhynchus (Pink-footed goose). Its description in RNAcentral is "lncRNA (ENSABRG00000009754.1)". The record is from RNAcentral. Lineage: Eukaryota; Metazoa; Chordata; Aves; Anseriformes; Anatidae.
GCAGGAGGGCUCUGCAGGAGGGUCUGGGUAGGCUGGACCAAUGGGCUGAGGUCAACUGUAUGAAGUUCAACAAGGCCAAGUGCCGGGUCCUGCACCUGGGGCGCAACAACCCCAAGCAGCUCUACAGGCUGGGAGAUGAGUGGUUGGAAAGCUGCCUGGCAGAGAAGGACCUGGGAGUACUGGUUGAUAGUCGGCUGAAUAUGAGCCAGCAGCGUGCUCAGGUGGCCAAGAAGGCCAACAGCAUUCUGGCUUGUGUAAGAAACAGUGUGGCCAGCAGGGCUAGGGAAGUGAUUGUCCCCCUGUACUCGGCUCUGGUGAGGCCGCACCUCGAGUACUGUGUUCAGUUUUGGGCCCCUCACUACAAGAAGGACAUGGAGGUGCUAGAGCACGUCCAGAGAAGGACGAUGAGGCUGGUGAGGGGUCUGGAGAACAAGGCUUACGAGGAGCGGCUGAGGGAGCUGGGGUUGUUCAGCCUGGAGAAGAGGAGGCUCAGGGGCGACCUUAUCGCUCUCUACAGGUACCUUAAAGGAGGCUGUAGCGAGGCGGGGGUUGGUCUGUUCUCCCACGUGCCUGGUGACAGGAUGAGGGGGAAUGGGCUACAGUUGCGCCAGGGGAGGUUUAGGUUGGAUAUUAGGAAGAACUUCUUUACUGAAAGGGUUGUUAGGCAUUGGAAUGGGCUGCCCAGGGAAGUGGUUGAGUCACCAUCCCUGGAGGUCUUUAAGAGACGUUUAGAUGUAGAGCUUAGUGAUAUGGUUUAGUGGAGGACUUGUUAGUGUUAGGUCAGAGGUUGGACUAGGUGAUCUUGGAGGUCUCUUCCAACCUAGAUGCUUCUGUGAUUCUGUGAUACUCCAGAAUCCAAACAUACUCCAUACUCCAUCCAAACACAAUGUUUCUUCAUGAAGAAACAUAGGGACUUUUGUACAGAAUCAUUUUUGUCUCCUAAACACUUCAAGAUAAACAUACAAACACAAAGAAUUUAAAGUAUCCAAAGUGUUACAGAAAAAGCU